AUUAAUAAAUUUAUUUAUUUAAUAUUAAAUUUUUAUUUUUUUAAAAAAAAUAUUUUUUUUUUUUUUAUUUUUUUAGAUAAAAUUUUAUUAUAAUUAUAGUUAAUUAGUAUAGAGAUAGAAUAUUGAAAUAUACUGAAAAUAAUAAUUAUUAAAAGAAAAUUUAAUUUAUUGUAACUUGUGUAUCAGGGUUUAUUAAAUAAUAAUUAAUUAAUUUAAUAUUCUCGAAUUUAAAAGAGCUAAGAAAUUAUUAAUUUUAUUGUAGAAUAAAUAUUUAAAAUAUUUUUUUAGUAAUGAAAUGUUAUUCGUUUUUAAAUUUAUCUAGUUUUUUAAGAAAUAAAUUUAAUUUAGUUAUUUAUUAAAUAAAUUAAUAAUUUUAUAUUAAAAUAAAAUAAAUAAUUAAUAUUUUAAGGGAUAAGCUUUAAAAUAAAUUUUUAUAAAUAAUAAAUUGAUAUUAUAAGAUUUAUAGGAAUAGAAAUAUUUAUUAAAUAUAGUGUGUUAUAACAAAUUUUAUAAAAUUUAUAAUUUUUUUUUAUUUUAAUUUAUUUAUUAAAAUAAUUAAUUUAAUAAUUUAAUUAAUGAAAUAAUGAUAUAAUUAGUAUAAUUUGAUGUUGAUUAAAUUUUAUAAAUUUAAGGUUAAGUUAAGGAAUUCGGCAAUUAUUUUUUUCGCCUGUUUAUUAAAAACAUGUCUUUUUGAUAAUAAUUUAAAGUCCGACCUGCCCAAUGAUUGAAAAUUAAAUGGCCGCGAUAUUUUGAUCGUGCAAAGGUAGCAUAAUAAUUAGUUUUUUAAUUAAGAACUGGAAUGAAAGGUUAAACGAAAGAAAGACUGUCUCAAUUUAAAUUGAAUUAAAAUUUUAUUUUUAAGUAAAAAAGCUUAAAUAUCUUUAAAAGACGAGAAGACCCUAUAGAGUUUUAUAAUUAUAGGUUUAUUUUUUAUUUUAAGAAUUUAAUUUAAAAAUAUUUUUAUAAUUAUUUAAUUGGGGUGAUUAAAAAAUUUAAAUAACUUUUUUUAUUAUUAAAACAUUAAUUUAUGAAAAAAUGAUCCAUAAUUUAUGAUUAAAAGAUUAAAUUACCUUAGGGAUAACAGCGUAAUUUUUUUUGAGAGUUCUAAUCGAAAAAAAAGUUUGCGACCUCGAUGUUGGAUUAAAAUUAACUUUUGGUGCAGAAGUUAAAAAGUUAGGUCUGUUCGACCUUUAAAAUUUUACAUGAUCUGAGUUUAAACCGGUGUAAGCCAGGUUGGUUUCUAUCUUUAAAUAGUUUUAAUAUUUUAGUACGAAAGGAUUAAAUAUUGAUAAUAAUUAUUUAAUUUUGAAUAUUAAUAAAU
Molecule: ribosomal RNA, 1321 nt
Filed under: Cleptocaccobius convexifrons
Lineage: Eukaryota; Metazoa; Arthropoda; Insecta; Coleoptera; Scarabaeidae
Description: 16S ribosomal RNA
Rfam family: Archaeal large subunit ribosomal RNA (bases 1077-1235)
Source: RNAcentral